UGAUAUCACCUUUUUGAGAAG
Molecule: microRNA, 21 nt
Filed under: Callithrix jacchus (white-tufted-ear marmoset)
Lineage: Eukaryota; Metazoa; Chordata; Mammalia; Primates; Cebidae
Description: cja-miR-513h-3p
Gene: cja-miR-513h-3p
Source: miRBase by way of RNAcentral